Molecule: unclassified non-coding RNA, 224 nt
Filed under: uncultured fungus
Lineage: Eukaryota; Fungi
Description: sequence contains ITS1
Source: RNAcentral
AGUUUAUAGAUGCGUUACAUCGAUUACAUUCAGAUUAAAAUAUAUGGGUGUAUGUAUUGGCAGACGGAAACCCCCUCUCGUGAAAGAAAAAGGCCUCCGUCUCACAAGUGCACAGGUGUGUGUGGAUGAAAGAGAAGGCGUGCACAUGCCUCCGUGAAGAGGCCAGCGACAACCAACUCUACAUUCAUUCAUUAAUGAUCCUUCCGCAGGUUCACCUACGGAAA